This 93-nucleotide transfer RNA is filed under the name Desulfosarcina sp. RNAcentral describes it as "tRNA-Ser". It matches the Rfam family "tRNA". From Rfam's summary of the family: Transfer RNA (tRNA) molecules are approximately 80 nucleotides in length. The record is from RNAcentral. RNAcentral also lists the same sequence under 3 other names. Lineage: Bacteria; Pseudomonadati; Thermodesulfobacteriota; Desulfobacteria; Desulfobacterales; Desulfosarcinaceae.
GGAGAGAUGGCCGAGCCGGCUGAAGGCGCUCGCCUGCUAAGCGAGUGUGUGGGGAAACUUGCACCGAGGGUUCGAAUCCCUCUCUCUCCGCCA